AAAGGGACCUUAAAAGGACAUUGUUUUUCGUUGUUAUGUUAAGCCUUAAAAAUGGAAAGGGACCUUAAAGAGACAUCAAUGAUAAUCUUGUGGUCUGUUAUCACACAAAAAAUUGUACACGAAAAGGUAAAAAGUGAUCUUAUGUACUGGUCUCCUUAGAACUAUAGCAUAGAUCCUGUUCAAGUCAGGCCUUGCUAUUCAUAGUGCUUGCUCAGAUUUCAACAAUCUUGGGCCACAUUGUUAAUAUGUUUCUAAAGUGCUUUUCUUAUUUAGCAUUAAUUCAUUUCCUUGAUCAAUUUUAAGUUAUCAUAUGGAGAUUUUCAUUAAAAAUUGCAUGGUUUUUACAAAGAACUUUUUUCACAUCUGAAGAAUUCUUCUUUUGGAUGGGGCAAAUGAGGGUUUGGUUAUUGUGUCAUAUUCUCGCGGAGUGAGUUUUAGAGAACCUUUUAAAAACCAAUUAAUGGAGUUCUUCAGGAACACUUGUGGAUGAGAAGAUUUCAGAGGAAGAUAUGGAGUUGUCUUCUUCCCUCAGUGAAAUCUGAUGUUUGGCAGGAACACUUGUGUAUCUUCUUUCAUUGGUGUUUUUGAAUGAAAUAUGUCAAGUCUAACACUAAGGUACAAGAUUGUUUUGUAUGCUAUAGCCAUGGUGGUAGAUUUUGAUCAUGAAAAUUGUGAGGUAUUUUUGGUUUCUCUCUGUUUCAGGUGAAAAGAACAAAACAUGACGAAUCAGAGCUAAGCUACGGUCUGCCCGUAGCCAGCGUUACGUCCCGUAGCACACCAGAAGCUGUGUCAUAUUCCAUUUUCACAACAGGGUUCAGACUGCUUAAGCUGUUUUAUUUCUGCAUCGAACACUAAUUUUAAGCCAUUCUUAAUAGAUUUUAGGCCUUCUGGUGUGUCACUUACAAGCAACUAGACAUACUUAAAUCAAACAUCAAGCCUUAUAGUGGUACCUUGAUGGAGUUCUCAGGAGACAAUGCAGAAGGCACGAGAUUCCUUGAAUUGUGACUUUCAUGGUCGAUGUGUGAAAAUUUUCAUUUCUGAAAAGGAUGUUGAUGGUCGAUGAAACGUUGGCAUACAACCUCGCCAUUGUAAGUAGACACAUGCUAAAUUCAAUUUGAGACCUUGUAUCAAAACCCCACUUAGCAAUGAAGUUUUCUUUAGAGAACAUGGAGAUUUCAACGUCAAGAAUAUUUUUAUGGAGUCCAACGUACAUGCCCGACAUGUUCUCAAUAUUUGGUGAUUAUUGUUCCUUUAUUUUUCUGCUUGUAUAGAAUUCCUAACUUCACAUUACAUGUUUGUUUGAAAGUUCACAACAAUCAACCAAUGCCAUGAGCAAAAUUAGAUAUACAUUCUAACAAAAUUUAACUUUUCGUUUUUGUUGUUGUUGUUGAUGUACUAAAAGAAUACAUGGAUGACUAUAAUUUGUUU
This 1428-nucleotide long non-coding RNA is filed under the name Lathyrus oleraceus (garden pea). RNAcentral describes it as "Pisum sativum (pea) long non-coding RNA (PSAT_LNC040664)". Lineage: Eukaryota; Viridiplantae; Streptophyta; Magnoliopsida; Fabales; Fabaceae. The record is from RNAcentral.